Molecule: ribosomal RNA, 174 nt
Filed under: uncultured bacterium
Lineage: Bacteria
Description: partial 16S ribosomal RNA
Rfam family: Bacterial small subunit ribosomal RNA
Source: RNAcentral
GUCGCAAGACCAAAGAGGGGGACCUCGGGCCUCUUGCCAUCGGAUGUGCCCAGAUGGGAUUAGCUUGUUGGUGGGGUAACGGCUCACCAAGGCGACGAUCCCUAGCUGGUCUGAGAGGAUGACCAGCCACACUGGAACUGAGACACGGUCCAGACUCCUACGGGAGGCAGCAUG